CGAAUUUAUCAUGAAUCCAACCAAAAUCCCAAAAACCCACUAAAAUGCCAUGAGUAAAUUAGUUAAAUGAGAGAGCAAGGGGUGCGAUCAACGAAAAAGGAAAAAUCCCAACAUCUAGGGGCCAGACGCCUGGUUAAAUACUCCAAAAGAGAGUCAAAUGUUGUUUUCUUUUCACUCCUCUCUUCUUCGUCUCCUUCUUUAUGUUUUCUUUUGUGUGUGAUGCUGUUUUGCCUAGGUUGAGUUUUUUUAGUUCAAAAUUUCUUUAACUUCAAUGAGAAAUUAAAGAAGUUGCUCUGAUGAACUUUGAGUGAGGAAAGGAUUUUUUUGCAGAGUGAGUUUAGAGUAAUGUGUACCUCCUUGUGAGGCAAUGAGAUGGUUAAUUUAUAGGAGAGUGGAAAUGAGAUAGGGAGGUUUCAAAUUCAUGUGAAAAUUUGUUAGUUUUGCUCAUAUAUUUUCCUUCACUCGUGUGAAUGAGAGAUGGUGAGGUGGAAUUUGGGG
RNAcentral lists this long non-coding RNA (498 nucleotides) under Lathyrus oleraceus (garden pea). RNAcentral describes it as "Pisum sativum (pea) long non-coding RNA (PSAT_LNC000588)". Lineage: Eukaryota; Viridiplantae; Streptophyta; Magnoliopsida; Fabales; Fabaceae. The record is from RNAcentral.